Molecule: ribosomal RNA, 424 nt
Filed under: uncultured bacterium
Lineage: Bacteria
Description: bacterial SSU rRNA
Rfam family: Bacterial small subunit ribosomal RNA
Source: RNAcentral
UGGGGAAUAUUGGACAAUGGGCGCAAGCCUGAUCCAGCCAUGCCGCGUGAGUGAUGAAGGCCCUAGGGUUGUAAAGCUCUUUCAACGGUGAAGAUAAUGACGGUAACCGUAGAAGAAGCCCCGGCUAACUUCGUGCCAGCAGCCGCGGUAAUACGAAGGGGGCUAGCGUUGUUCGGAAUUACUGGGCGUAAAGCGCACGUAGGCGGAUUGUUAAGUUAGGGGUGAAAUCCCAGGGCUCAACCCUGGAACUGCCUUUAAUACUGGCAAUCUCGAGUCCGAGAGAGGUGAGUGGAAUUCCGAGUGUAGAGGUGAAAUUCGUAGAUAUUCGGAGGAACACCAGUGGCGAAGGCGGCUCACUGGCUCGGUACUGACGCUGAGGUGCGAAAGCGUGGGGAGCAAACAGGAUUAGAUACCCCCGUAGUCC